Molecule: long non-coding RNA, 632 nt
Filed under: Rattus norvegicus (Norway rat)
Lineage: Eukaryota; Metazoa; Chordata; Mammalia; Rodentia; Muridae
Description: long non-coding RNA NONRATT012102
Source: RNAcentral
UCAAUGUAGACUCUUUCUAACUGCAGGGUCUGUCUCAGAUCUUUCCCUACACAUGUGUCCACCCCCAUAUACACAGACAGACAGAUAUACACUGACACAGACAUGACACACACAGACACAUACAUACAGAGACACAGACUUAUACACACACACACACACACACACACACACACACACACACUGUUCCUGAUGUUUUUUUUUUCAUCCCUUAGGAGACCCACAGCCAUGAGGACGCUCACUCUGCUUACCGCCCUUCUCCUGCUGGCCCUCCACACCCAGGCAAAAUCUCCCCAAGGAACCGCUGAGGAGGCUCCAGACCAGGAGCAGCUGGUCAUGGAGGACCAGGAUAUUUCCAUAUCCUUUGGAGGGGAUAAAGGCACUGCUCUCCAAGAUGCAGAUGUGAAGGCAGGCGUGACCUGCUAUUGCAGAAGCACACGCUGUGGUUUUAGAGAACGGCUCUCUGGGGCCUGUGGUUACCGUGGCCGCAUCUACAGACUGUGCUGCCGCUGAGCACUCCGACCAAGAAGAAUCCAUUUGUCAAAUGAUCUGAGAUCUUGAACGAGACUGCUAUUUGUCAGAUGUUAUGUCCUUGAGUUUCCUCUUCCUUUACACUCAAAUAAAGUUCUUACAGC